This is a small nucleolar RNA of Cucurbita moschata (crookneck pumpkin), 212 nucleotides long. RefSeq annotates it as Plant small nucleolar RNA U3. The record is from RefSeq and is a predicted model, not a curated record. The transcript has a single exon. Lineage: Eukaryota; Viridiplantae; Streptophyta; Magnoliopsida; Cucurbitales; Cucurbitaceae.
ACGACCUUACUUGAACAGGAUCUGUUCUAUAGGUUGUACAACUGUGUCCUUGAGUUCUAAGGAGACAAGAACCAUAAUCUGGUGGAUGAACCACUGCCCUGCGGCUAGAGCGUGAUUAACAGUCCAACGAUCCAUUGGAUCUGCGGCGGUAGAUGAUCGUUCUCGCAAGGCUUCGCCCUAGCUGGGAUGGUCGCAAGGCGGUCUGACAGAUU